This is a non-coding RNA of Nylanderia fulva, 665 nucleotides long. NCBI's taxonomy places the organism in Eukaryota, Metazoa, Arthropoda, Insecta, Hymenoptera, Formicidae. The record is from RefSeq and is a predicted model, not a curated record.
UCUUUCCCGCUUUUUAGGUUCCGGAUGUGGAAUGCAGGCAACGACAAGAACAGCUUGCUAAACCGCAUAGACUUGGACUGCUAUGAUAGCACUACUGUCUACUGGUUCUAAUAAAUAGUAAAGUUUUAUAAAGGAAUAAUAUCUACUUAUUUGAUAGAAUUCGAAAUCAGACAUAAAACUUUCAAGGAGCUUUAGAACCUGAUGCCAUUUCAACUAUAUAGAAGGAAGUUUUACAUAAUAUAUAUCAUUAUAUAUAUUCUUAUUAUUAAUAGUUUUCCAUCUUCGCUUUACUUUUACGCAAUACAGUAGAUGAUUUAGAAUCGAAUGAAGAACUGAUAGAGAGUGAUAUUGAUGAUGCAAAUACAGAUGAUAAUACAAGUACAGAGUUAGAUGAAGAAACAGCAGAUUAUAAUAUGGAAAAACGUCUCAUGACAUGAUAAUUGUUAUUCUCAAAAAUUUUAUUAGUAAUCAUCUUUCAACGUUAUAUUGCUGGAAUGGAAAAAGUAUGAAGAAAGAGCCGUUCAAAGAUUUAUUGUUAACUAAAUGCAUAAAAAAAUGUGUUCAUGCAAAAUUCGAAACGGAUGACAAACAAAUUAUCGAAGUCAUCUCUAAAUGGUUCAUCCAGGGCAAAUUACGUCAUGACAGAGAUGAAGAACGAUUACAAC